RNAcentral lists this unclassified non-coding RNA (331 nucleotides) under soil metagenome. Its description in RNAcentral is "partial contains 5.8S ribosomal RNA, internal transcribed spacer 2, and large subunit ribosomal RNA". The stretch from base 1 to 120 matches the Rfam family "5.8S ribosomal RNA", at positions 35 to 154 of the family's 154-position model. The record is from RNAcentral.
GAUGAAGAACGUAGCAAAAUGCGAUAAGUAAUGUGAAUUGCAGAAUUCAGUGAAUCAUCGAAUCUUUGAACGCACAUUGCGCCCGCCAGUAUUCUGGCGGGCAUGCCUGUUCGAGCGUCAUUUCAACCCUCAAGCACAGCUUGGUGUUGGGACUCGCGUUAAUUCGCGUUCCUCAAAUUGAUUGGCGGUCACGUCGAGCUUCCAUAGCGUAGUAGUAAAACCCUCGUUACUGGUAAUCGUCGCGGCCACGCCGUUAAACCCCAACUUCUGAAUGUUGACCUCGGAUCAGGUAGGAAUACCCGCUGAACUUAAGCAUACAAUAAGCGGAGGA